GCGUUGUUAGCUCAGCCGGACAGAGCAAUAAGCAAUCGGUCACUGGUUCGAAUCCAGUACAACGCGCCA
Molecule: transfer RNA, 69 nt
Filed under: Escherichia coli
Lineage: Bacteria; Pseudomonadati; Pseudomonadota; Gammaproteobacteria; Enterobacterales; Enterobacteriaceae
Description: tRNA-OTHER
Rfam family: tRNA
About the family: Transfer RNA (tRNA) molecules are approximately 80 nucleotides in length. Their secondary structure includes four short double-helical elements and three loops (D, anti-codon, and T loops).
Source: RNAcentral